UGGGGAAUAUUGCACAAUGGGGGAAACCCUGAUGCAGCAACGCCGCGUUCGGGAUGACGGCCUUCGGGUUGUAAACCGCUUUCAGCCAUGACGAAGCCUUUGUGACGGUAGUGGCAGAAGAAGCACCGCCUAACUACGUGCCAGCAGCCGCGGUGAUACGUAGGGUGCGAGCGUUGUCCGGAAUUAUUGGGCGUAAAGAGCUUGUAGGCGGUUUGUCGCGUCGAAAGUGUAAACUCAGUGCUUAACGCUGAGCCUGCUUUCGAUACGAGCUGACUAGAGGAAGGUAGGGGAGAAUGGAAUUCCCGGUGGAGCGGUGGAAUGCGCAGAUAUCGGGAGGAACACCAGUGGCGAAGGCGGUUCUCUGGACCUUUCCUGACGCUGAGAAGCGAAAGCGUGGGUAGCAAACAGG
This 409-nucleotide ribosomal RNA is filed under the name bacterium. RNAcentral describes it as "partial 16S ribosomal RNA". It matches the Rfam family "Bacterial small subunit ribosomal RNA", at positions 355 to 776 of the family's 1533-position model. The record is from RNAcentral.